This 492-nucleotide ribosomal RNA is filed under the name uncultured bacterium. RNAcentral describes it as "partial 16S ribosomal RNA". It matches the Rfam family "Bacterial small subunit ribosomal RNA", at positions 29 to 507 of the family's 1533-position model. The record is from RNAcentral.
AGUGAACGCUGGCGGUAGGCCUAACACAUGCAAGUCGAACGGCAGCACAGUAAGAGCUUGCUCUUACGGGUGGCGAGUGGCGGACGGGUGAGGAAUACAUCGGAAUCUACUUUUUCGUGGGGGAUAACGUAGGGAAACUUACGCUAAUACCGCAUACGACCUACGGGUGAAAGCAGGGGAUCUUCGGACCUUGCGCGAUUGAAUGAGCCGAUGUCGGAUUAGCUAGUUGGGGGGGUAAAGGCCCACCAAGGCGACGAUCCGUAGCUGGUCUGAGAGGAUGAUCAGCCACACUGGAACUGAGACACGGUCCAGACUCCUACGGGAGGCGGCAGUGGGGAAUAUUGGACAAUGGGCGCAAGCCUGAUCCAGCCAUACCGCGUGGGUGAAGAAGGCCUUCGGGUUGUAAAGCCCUUUUGUUGGGAAAGAAAAGCAGCAGGUUAAUACCCCGCUGUUCUGACGGUACCCAAAGAAUAAGCACCGGCUAACUUCGUG